UCUUGCUGGAUGGCGGCCUCUUCUUGCAGUGUGGCCUCCAGCUUCGCCUUGUUGUCUAUCUGUUCGCCUUCCACUUCUGCCGCUUUUACCUGAGCCUCCUUUGCCUUCAGAAGAAAGGAGAAAGAAGAAGGUAACUGCACUGAGCCUGAGGCACCAGAUCUGAAGUGUCCUUACCUCUCUGAGCAAUGUUACCACCCAGGCUUCCUACAAAACAACAGAGUACACAACGGCAAGCUGCCUCGUGUGUUUAGAGGGUCUAAGGCUUCUAAGGGGGAUGGAAAAGCACUGGCUGCUUCUGCAGAGGACUUCGAUUCAGUUCCUAACAUUCACAUGGCUGCUCACAACUCUUUCUAACUCCAGUUACUGGAGACCUGACACACUCUUCUGGUCUCCAUAGGCACUUGCAUGCAUGAGGUAUACAAACAUGCAUUCAAAUACCCAUACAAAUAAAAUAAAUAUUAAAAAUAUACC
Molecule: long non-coding RNA, 471 nt
Organism: Mastomys coucha (southern multimammate mouse)
Lineage: Eukaryota; Metazoa; Chordata; Mammalia; Rodentia; Muridae
Exons: 2
Source: RefSeq, a predicted model, not a curated record